Molecule: ribosomal RNA, 497 nt
Filed under: uncultured bacterium
Lineage: Bacteria
Description: partial 16S ribosomal RNA
Rfam family: Bacterial small subunit ribosomal RNA
Source: RNAcentral
GAUGAACGCUGGCGGCGUGCCUAAUACAUGCAAGUCGAGCGAACAGACGAGGAGCUUGCUCCUCUGACGUUAGCGGCGGACGGGUGAGUAACACGUGGAUAACCUACCUAUAAGACUGGGAUAACUUCGGGAAACCGGAGCUAAUACCGGAUAAUAUAUUGAACCGCAUGGUUCAAUAGUGAAAGACGGUUUUGCUGUCACUUAUAGAUGGAUCCGCGCCGCAUUAGCUAGUUGGUAAGGUAACGGCUUACCAAGGCGACGAUGCGUAGCCGACCUGAGAGGGUGAUCGGCCACACUGGAACUGAGACACGGUCCAGACUCCUACGGGAGGCAGCAGUAGGGAAUCUUCCGCAAUGGGCGAAAGCCUGACGGAGCAACGCCGCGUGAGUGAUGAAGGUCUUCGAAUCGUAAAACUCUGUUAUUAGGGAAGAACAAAUGUGUAAGUAACUAUGCACGUCUUGACGGUACCUAAUCAGAAAGCCACGGCUAACUACGUG